AUGCACGCUGGCGGCGUGCCUAAUACAUGCAAGUCGAGCGAACAGAUGAGGAGCUUGCUCCUCUGACGUUAGCGGCGGACGGGUGAGUAACACGUGGAUAACCUACCUAUAAGACUGGGAUAACUUCGGGAAACCGGAGCUAAUACCGGAUAAUAUAUUGAACCGCAUGGUUCAAUAGUGAAAGACGGUUUUGCUGUCACUUAUAGAUGGAUCCGCGCCGCAUUAGCUAGUUGGUAAGGUAACGGCUUACCAAGGCAACGAUGCGUAGCCGACCUGAAAGGGUGAUCGGCCACACUGGAACUGAGACACGGUCCAGACUCCUACGGGAGGCAGCAGUAGGGAAUCUUCCGCAAUGGGCGAAAGCCUGACGGAGCAACGCCGCGUGAGUGAUGAAGGUCUUCGGAUCGUAAAACUCUGUUAUUAGGGAAGAACAAAUGUGUAAGUAACUAUGCACGUCUUGACGGUACCUAAUCAGAAAGCCACGGCUAACUACGUG
RNAcentral lists this ribosomal RNA (496 nucleotides) under uncultured bacterium. RNAcentral's name for it is "partial 16S ribosomal RNA". It matches the Rfam family "Bacterial small subunit ribosomal RNA", at positions 29 to 507 of the family's 1533-position model. The record is from RNAcentral.